CCCAGCAGCACUACUGGCCUCAAGGGCCAGAUUUCACUAUCCCUGCUUUCCUGACAUCUGAAUUUAGAAGGGUCCGCCACUACAAACUUGUCGGCGGAGUUGUCAGGGCGACGGAAAGGCAGUCUGAAAGUCAGCGGCCUGCGGUCCCUCUGUCUCUUCCUGAUGAUUCGCCGAGCCGGAAGAAUCCUGUUGGACUUUUUGUUCCGCAUGAACAUUACCGUAGAGAUCACGAUCGUCAUGACUACUAUGACACUAAUGACACCAGCGAUCACGCCUAGGACUUUGAUGGGAUUUUCCCUACUUUGCAUUAAAAAGGCCGCCAUCGGCCCCUUGAGCUGAGUCUGUAAAAGAGCACAAAGAGAAGACCUUUAAUCAAGUCCGGAGUAUGAGCUACAUCUUCAUCAGUCCAACCACAUGUGCAGUGCCAGCUCCGGGCCCCAGGAGAGACCGGGCAGGUAAGUAUGAGAGAGUGAGUUGGCAGUGGAGAAGUGGGGAACCGUACCAUGACGGAGAUGACGUUGGAGCCUCCAGGGGAGUUCUCGGGGAUCCUAGCGAUGUAAUAGUCGGAGGAGAACUUGGGACUGUUGUCAUUGGUAUCUAGGAGGUGGAUGAUGAUGUCAGCCGUGGCACUGAAUCUUUCCGGUGUGUCAAUCUCCACAGCAAGGAGCUGAGGAAAAGAGACACAAAGAACAAUUUAAGCUUCUGGAAGUUUCUGAAAAUGAGCUGGAUAUGCAAGAAGCCUAAUGCAUCCACUGGUUUCAUUGAUGGAGAAAACACCAUCAGCCCCUGUAAAAGCCCCACACCAUCAGAACAUCAAAGUCGAAUGACACACUACAACCUCACCUUUCUCAAUCAGCAGAACAAGCACUAAUAAAAUGACCAGAUUAAUGCCAAAUACAAAACAAACCAUUACUUUAUUUUUUAUUGAUUACUUUUUAUCUUAUUUUAUUUAGACUCUUUAUAAUAUUUCAAACUUUAACUGAAAUUUAAAUUUUUUUUCCCCAAAUUCAGUCCAAGUGAGGGCCGUAUGAGGAAGGGAUUUUAAAGCUCACCGUUCACUAUUGAAUAUCGGAUUGGAUUAGGGUUGCCUUGGUCUCCAUCUUUUGCAAAAACAGUGUAGAUUUCAGAACCCUGAAACACAGACAUAAUUCACACUUAUAAUCCUGAU
Long non-coding RNA from Anguilla rostrata (American eel), 1168 nucleotides. RefSeq lists it as uncharacterized. The transcript is spliced from 4 exons. The record is from RefSeq and is a predicted model, not a curated record. NCBI's taxonomy places the organism in Eukaryota, Metazoa, Chordata, Actinopteri, Anguilliformes, Anguillidae.